CUGAUUGGCCAUUAGACACUGGGCUUGCUCUAGUCUCCCUGCCUGCUGAGGCCAGAAGAGAGUGCUGGAUCUCCAGGAGCUAUAUGCAGAUAACUUGAGAAUCACUGAGCCAGGCCACAGUUCUCACAUGUCCUUCAAGUGGAUAUGAGAUUAACAUUCCUACAACAAAGGAUGUGGCACACUGUCUUCUCCAACCAACAAGAGUGGACUCCGUGAACUUCCCUUUCCUGAGAACACUUCCCUUGAAAUUGAGAUGUAACAGCUACUCGGCUUUGCCCAUGCAGGCAACUGCAAUAUUCUACAAUGGUAUUAUCUUGACUUUAAUGUGCCAAAGAGUCACCAAGGGAACCUUUUAAACUACAAAGACACCUGAGCAUGUCUCUGGAGACAGAGUCUACAGCACUGACAGGCUGCCACAUGGUACCAGAUGCUACUGUCGUGUGGCUCACGUGUGAAACCAACAAGAUGACCAAAAAUGCAAAGCAGAAAACUGCCCCAGAACACUGGGUUGUUUAAAAGACGGAGAGGAAAAUGGCUGGAAUUCAGACCUCUGUACUUGUGGCCUCUACUGGGCCCUAAUCCUAAACCUAACUAGAACAUGUUUAUAACUGUAGAAGA
Long non-coding RNA from Mesocricetus auratus (golden hamster), 618 nucleotides. RefSeq lists it as uncharacterized. Lineage: Eukaryota; Metazoa; Chordata; Mammalia; Rodentia; Cricetidae. The record is from RefSeq and is a predicted model, not a curated record. The transcript is spliced from 2 exons.